UUCCUGGUGGCCUAGUGGUUAAGGGUCUGGUGUUGUUAAUGCUGUGGCUCAGGUUCGAUCCCUGUCCUGGGAU
This 73-nucleotide transfer RNA is filed under the name Sus scrofa (pig). It matches the Rfam family "tRNA". From Rfam's summary of the family: Transfer RNA (tRNA) molecules are approximately 80 nucleotides in length. Their secondary structure includes four short double-helical elements and three loops (D, anti-codon, and T loops). Lineage: Eukaryota; Metazoa; Chordata; Mammalia; Artiodactyla; Suidae. The record is from Rfam by way of RNAcentral.